GCUGACAAUAGCAAACGUUUUUAACCAUGUAGGCUCUCCUUAUCCUCAAUUAUCUCUAUGAUAGCCCACUAAGGAAGAUUAAUCUCGCAGAUGUGGCUUCAAAGACCAUUUGAUCAUUUAAGCUACUUUGCAAGUGACUAAUGAUCUCUAUAUAUCCUUUGAGAGAAGAUUGAUUAAUUACCCAAAUAAACAAACCUCAUCAAUCAACAACAAUAUGCUGUGAGUCACAGCUCGAAAGAAAAUGAGGACAUGAGGAACACGCAUAGAAGUGUUCCCGUAGCGCAAGUCAACCACAUUAUUUGAUUCCAGAAGGCCAGCUUGUCCCAAGACAAACUCAACACGCAAUAUGGCCCACAUAAACCGCUAUGAGCUGGAAGUGUGGACUCCU
This 388-nucleotide long non-coding RNA is filed under the name Elaeis guineensis (African oil palm). RNAcentral describes it as "long non-coding RNA (EGUI_LNC007215)". Lineage: Eukaryota; Viridiplantae; Streptophyta; Magnoliopsida; Arecales; Arecaceae. The record is from RNAcentral.